AUUGAACGCUGGCGGCAGGCUUAACACAUGCAAGUCGAGCGGAGAUGAGGUGCUUGCACCUUAUCUUAGCGGCGGACGGGUGAGUAAUGCUUAGGAAUCUGCCAUUUAGUGGGGGACAACAUUCCGAAAGGAAUGCUAAUACCGCAUACGUCCUACGGGAGAAAGUAGGGGAUCUUCGGACCUUGCGCUAAAUGAUGAGCCUAAGUCGGAUUAGCUAGUUGGUGGGGUAAAGGCCUACCAAGGCGACGAUCUGUAGCGGGUCUGAGAGGAUGAUCCGCCACACUGGGACUGAGACACGGCCCAGACUCCUACGGGAGGCAGCAGUGGGGAAUAUUGGACAAUGGGGGGAACCCUGAGCCAGCCAUGCCGCGUGUGUGAAGAAGGCCUUAUGGUUGUAAAGCACUUUAAGCGAGGAGGAGGCUACUGAGACUAAUACUCUUGGAUAGUGGACGUUACUCGCAGAAUAAGCACCGGCUAACUCUGUG
This 485-nucleotide ribosomal RNA is filed under the name uncultured bacterium. Its description in RNAcentral is "partial 16S ribosomal RNA". It matches the Rfam family "Bacterial small subunit ribosomal RNA", at positions 30 to 507 of the family's 1533-position model. The record is from RNAcentral.